This 1188-nucleotide ribosomal RNA is filed under the name Triticum aestivum (bread wheat). RNAcentral describes it as "partial small subunit ribosomal RNA". Lineage: Eukaryota; Viridiplantae; Streptophyta; Magnoliopsida; Poales; Poaceae. The record is from RNAcentral.
AUGGCGGCGGCGGUGACCGUGGACGAAGUGAUGAAGAUGCAGAGGGCGCAGGGCCCGGCGACGGUGCUGGCCAUCGGUACGGCGACGCCGCAUAACUGCGUGUACCAGGCGGACUACGCGGACUACUACUUUCGCAUCACCAACAGCGAACACCUAACUGAUCUCAAGGACAAGUUCCAGAGGAUGUGUGACAGGUCGAUGAUCCGAAAGAGGUACAUGCACGUGACGGAGGAGAUCCUUAAGGAGAACCCCAACGUCUGCGCGUACAUGGCGCCGUCUCUGGAUGCGCGCCAAGACAUGGUGCUCGGCGAGGUCCCGAAGCUCGGGAAGGAGGCGGCACAUAAGGCCAUAAAGGAAUGGGGCCAGCCACUGUCCAAGAUCACGCACCUCGUCUUCUGCACCACCUCCGGCGUAGACAUGCCGGGUGCCGACUAUCAGCUAACCAAGAUGCUCGGCCUCCACCCGUCCGUGAGGCGCGUCAUGCUGUACCAGCAAGGCUGCUUUGCUGGCGGCACGGUGCUCCGCGUGGCCAAGGACCUUGCAGAGAACAACCGUGGCGCGCGUGUGCUCGUCGUCUGCUCAGAGAUCACAGCCGUGACUUUUCGUGGCCCAUGUGACACCCAGCUAGAUUCCAUGGUUGGCCAGGCACUCUUUGGCGAUGGGGCAGCUGCCGUGGUCGUGGGCGCUGACCCCGACGUGCUUGUUGAAAGGCCACUGUUCCAACUUGUCUCGGCGAGCCAGACAAUACUGCCGGACACGGAUGGCUUCAUCAAGGGCCACCUCCGGGAGGUUGGGCUCACCUUCCACCUCCACAAGGAUGUGCCUGUAGCCAUCUCAAAAAACAUCCAACAAGCGCUAGAGGACGCCUUCGCUCCACUCGGCAUCGAUGACUGGAACUCCAUCUUUUGGGUGGCUCACCCUGGUGGUCCGGCCAUCCUUGACAUGGUGGAGGCAGAGGCCAAGCUGGACAAAAGGCGGAUGCGUGCCACCAGGCACAUCCUAUCCGAGUACGGCAACAUGUCCAGCGCUUGUGUGCUCUUCAUCCUCGACGAGAUGCGUAAGCGCUCUGCUGAGGACGGACACGCCACCACCGGCGAGGGCCUAGACUGGGGCGUACUCUUUGGUUUCGGCCCCGGUCUCACCGUCGAGACUGUGGUCCUCCACAGCGUCCGCACCACCGCUGCAUGA